Long non-coding RNA from Canis lupus familiaris (dog), 457 nucleotides. RefSeq lists it as uncharacterized. The transcript is spliced from 3 exons. The record is from RefSeq and is a predicted model, not a curated record. Lineage: Eukaryota; Metazoa; Chordata; Mammalia; Carnivora; Canidae.
CGAGCGGCGAACAGGGAAGCCGGCGCAGGGAGCCGGGCCGGGAACCGCACUGGCGCUUAGUAGGCGCCCAGCGCGCCUCGGUCCUUCACCCACCCAGGAGUGCCACCCUGAUACCUGCUUCCACUCAUGUCCAGCCCUGCCCUGCCAAGCCGUUCUCCCCUAAGGAGCCAGGCUGAUCACUUCAAAAGAUAUUUUGUUCUGGGGAAAACAGCUGCCAUAUCAUGAGCAGCCCUGUGGAGAAGCCCACACGGGGAUUUACUGAAGCUUCUUGCCAACAGCCAUGUGAAUGAGCCAUCUUGGAAGUAGGCCCUCCAGCCCCAGUCAAGCCUUCAAAUGAGUGCAGCCCUGGCCAACAUCUUAGCUCAACCUCAUGAAAGAGACCCUGAGCCAGAACCAUCCAGCAAAGCUGAUCCCAGAUGCCUGAUUCUUAGAAACUACAUGAAGUAAUAAAUUUUCA